Molecule: long non-coding RNA, 284 nt
Organism: Haliotis rufescens (red abalone)
Lineage: Eukaryota; Metazoa; Mollusca; Gastropoda; Lepetellida; Haliotidae
Exons: 3
Source: RefSeq, a predicted model, not a curated record
UCCCACAUUACGCUGACACGCCACGAUAUACAAUGUAUAUGUUCAAUCAUUAAUGUGUUUAUCAUUAUCCAUGCCAGGUAAAACCAAUGGAAGUCAAACAACCGAAACCACGAGAGUGGCUCUAACAACCAGAUCAAGUGUAGAGAGUGUUGAUACCCGAGUCAUCAUUCCUGUUGUUGUCGUCACAGUACUUGUCCUUGUGGCCUCUAUCUGCACAGUGAUUAUCUUGAAGAGAUGCAGAAAGAGGGAAGUACCAGACCCAGAAGGGCAAGAUUUAUUAGCAA